RNAcentral lists this long non-coding RNA (480 nucleotides) under Homo sapiens (human). RNAcentral's name for it is "HSALNT0390721". Lineage: Eukaryota; Metazoa; Chordata; Mammalia; Primates; Hominidae. The record is from RNAcentral.
GGGAGGAAGACUUCUGAGCAGGCUUCUUCAUCAGAGCAGGGCUGUGAAUCUGCGAAGCCAGAAACUGAGUUUGCCUGUAACUAGAUGUGUUGGAUGAGGUCAUGGAGCAACCUUGGAGAUAGAAGCCACAUGCUAGGAUGGUGGGGCUGAAAAAUAGAGCUUGUUGCCUGAAGACCAUUACGUCUGCAUAUCAACCUUGAAUUGUCUCCUUUUGAGCUUCUUUCACACAAGAGAGAAAAUCCCCUGUAAAUUCUAAGAUCCUACGUUUUACCACAGGGGCAUCUACUGGCUAAUUCUGCAGUUUAGUAACCACAGGACUCUGGUCCAACUCAGCCAACAAACCACUUGGCACAUUUCAACCCUGGCCUGUUGUAAUCAUGGGGGAUAUUUUGGUUUUUCUCUCCUUCCAAAAGCUUGAGGAGAAUCACAAACAGGAAUACCAGACAAUUCCAAUAUAAGGAACCAAGGGAUGCAUAUCAC